UACAGGCUUAACACAUGCAAGUCGAGGGGCAUCAGGAAGAAAGCUUGCUUUCUUUGCUGGCGACCGGCGCACGGGUGAGUAACACGUAUCCAACCUGCCCUUUACUCGGGGAUAGCCUUUCGAAAGAAAGAUUAAUACCCGAUAGCAUAAUGAUUCCGCAUGGUUUCAUUAUUAAAGGAUUCCGGUAAAGGAUGGGGAUGCGUUCCAUUAGGUUGUUGGUGAGGUAACGGCCCACCAAGCCUUCGAUGGAUAGGGGUUCUGAGAGGAAGGUCCCCCACAUUGGAACUGAGACACGGUCCAAACUCCUACGGGAGGCAGCAGUGAGGAAUAUUGGUCAAUGGGCGCUAGCCUGAACCAGCCAAGUAGCGUGAAGGAUGAAGGCUCUGUGGGUCGUAAACUUCUUUUAUAUAAGAAUAAAGUGCGGUAUGUAUACUGUUUUGUAUGUAUUAUAUGAAUAAGGAUCGGCUAACUCCGUGCCAGCAGCCGCGGUAAUACGGAGGAUCCGAGCGUUAUCCGGAUUUAUUGGGUUUAAAGGGAGCGUAGGUGGACUGGUAAGUCAGUUGUGAAAGUUUGCGGCUCAACCGUAAAAUUGCAGUUGAUACUGUCAGUCUUGAGUACAGUAGAGGUGGGCGGAAUUCGUGGUGUAGCGGUGAAAUGCUUAGAUAUCACGAAGAACUCCGAUUGCGAAGGCAGCUCACUGGACUGCAACUGACACUGAUGCUCGAAAGUGUGGGUAUCAAACAGGAUUAGAUACCCUGGUAGUCCACACAGUAAACGAUGAAUACUCGCUGUUUGCGAUAUACAGUAAGCGGCCAAGCGAAAGCAUUAAGUAUUCCACCUGGGGAGUACGCCGGCAACGGUGAAACUCAAAGGAAUUGACGGGGGCCCGCACAAGCGGAGGAACAUGUGGUUUAAUUCGAUGAUACGCGAGGAACCUUACCCGGGCUUAAAUUGCAGUGGAAUGAUGUGGAAACAUGUCAGUGAGCAAUCACCGCUGUGAAGGUGCUGCAUGGUUGUCGUCAGCUCGUGCCGUGAGGUGUCGGCUUAAGUGCCAUAACGAGCGCAACCCUUAUCUUUAGUUACUAACAGGUUAUGCUGAGGACUCUAGAGAGACUGCCGUCGUAAGAUGUGAGGAAGGUGGGGAUGACGUCAAAUCAGCACGGCCCUUACGUCCGGGGCUACACACGUGUUACAAUGGGGGGUACAGAAGGCAGCUAGCGGGUGACCGUAUGCUAAUCCCAAAAUCCUCUCUCAGUUCGGAUCGAAGUCUGCAACCCGACUUCGUGAAGCUGGAUUCGCUAGUAAUCGCGCAUCAGCCACGGCGCGGUGAAUACGUUCCCGGGCCUUGUACACACCGCCCGUCAAGCCAUGGGAGCCGGGGGUACCUGAAGUACGUAAAGGCAAGGAUCGUCCUAGGGUAAAACUGGUGACUGGGGCU
RNAcentral lists this ribosomal RNA (1438 nucleotides) under uncultured organism. Its description in RNAcentral is "SSU rRNA". It matches the Rfam family "Bacterial small subunit ribosomal RNA". The record is from RNAcentral.